AAGAACUAUUAAUGUGCAUGUCAUGUUACAUAAUGUACCUGUCAUGUACUUUGAUCUACUCGUCAUGAUCUGCUUCGCAUACUAUAAAUUGAUAAGGUACUUGUCGUGUACCUAGAUGUACUCACAAACGAACUGGUACUAAAUAUUGACUCUCACUUGUGUCAUGCGUAAAAUAAAAAUGGUAUGAAAAAUAGGUGUCAGCACACAUGCAGAAAGAAAAAAAAGUGUCAGCACUCACAUGGCAAAAACAUUCACAUGCAAAGGGUC
This 267-nucleotide long non-coding RNA is filed under the name Brachypodium distachyon (stiff brome). RNAcentral describes it as "long non-coding RNA (BDIS_LNC005540)". The record is from RNAcentral. Lineage: Eukaryota; Viridiplantae; Streptophyta; Magnoliopsida; Poales; Poaceae.